This 464-nucleotide ribosomal RNA is filed under the name uncultured bacterium. RNAcentral's name for it is "partial 16S ribosomal RNA". It matches the Rfam family "Bacterial small subunit ribosomal RNA", at positions 339 to 795 of the family's 1533-position model. The record is from RNAcentral.
CUACGGGACGCUCCAGUGGGGAAUAUUGCACAAUGGGCGCAAGCCUGAUGCAGCCAUGCCGCGUGUAUGAAGAAGGCCUUCGGGUUGUAAAGUACUUUCAGCGGGGAGGAAGGGAGUAAAGUUAAUACCUUUGCUCAUUGACGUUACCCGCAGAAGAAGCACCGGCUAACUCCGUGCCAGCAGCCGCGGUAAUACGGAGGGUGCAAGCGUUAAUCGGAAUUACUGGGCGUAAAGCGCACGCAGGCGGUUGUUUAAGUCAGAUGUGAAAUCCCCGGGCUCAACCUGGGAACUGCAUCUGAUACUGGCAAGCUUGAGUCUCGUAGAGGGGGGUAGAAUUCCAGGUGUAGCGGUGAAAUGCGUAGAGAUCUGGAGGAAUACCGGUGGCGAAGGCGGCCCCCUGGACGAAGACUGACGCUCAGGUGCGAAAGCGUGGGGAGCAAACAGGAUUAGAUACCCCCGUAGUC